This 1182-nucleotide ribosomal RNA is filed under the name human gut metagenome. Its description in RNAcentral is "bacterial LSU rRNA". It matches the Rfam family "Bacterial large subunit ribosomal RNA", at positions 1358 to 2552 of the family's 2925-position model. The record is from RNAcentral.
GGCAAUGCCAGUCAUCCCGGGGUCAGUCGGGUCCUAAGUCUAAGCCGAACGGCGAUGGCGAUGGCAGAGACGGUUAAUAUUCCGUCACUGCCGCAUGGGGCGACGUGGAGACGGAGCAGUGAAACCACCGCGGGGCGACGGAAGUCCCCGUUGAAGAGUGUAGGUGUUGAGGAUGGCAGGCAAAUCCACCAUCCGAGCUGAACUUGAUAGUAUGGAGUCUUCUUCGGAAGAAUCCAAUAGUGUGGGUAAUCAUACUCCCGAGAAAAUCCGCUAAGCUUAACCCAUGCGGCACCCGUACCGCAAACGGACACACGUGGUCGGGUAGAACAUACUAAGGCGUUGAGAGAUUCAUGGUUAAGGAACUAGGCAAAUUGACCCUGUAACUUCGGGAUAAAGGGUCCUCGUGAUGAGCGAGGCGCAGAGAAUAGGUCCAGGCAACUGUUUAACAAAAACACAGGGCUGUGCAAAAUUGAAAGAUGAAGUAUACAGCCUGACACCUGCCCGGUGCUGGAAGGUUAAGAGGAGAUGUCAUCGCAAGAGAAGCAUUGAAUUGAAGCCCCAGUAAACGGCGGCCGUAACUAUAACGGUCCUAAGGUAGCGAAAUUCCUUGUCGGGUAAGUUCCGACCUGCACGAAUGGUGUAAUGAUCCGGACGCUGUCUCAACCGUGAGCUCAGUGAAAUUGUAGUAUCGGUGAAGAUGCCGAUUACCCGCGAUGGGACGAAAAGACCCCGUGAACCUUUACUGCAGCUUAGCACUGACCUUGGUCAUCCGAUGUGUAGGAUAGGCCGGAGGCUAUGAAGCCGGUACGCCAGUAUUGGUGGAGCCGCCGUUGAAAUACGGCCCUUUGGCUGUCUGAGGUCUAACGCGUGAUUCGCGGACACUGCUUGGCGGGCAGUUUGACUGGGGUGGUCGCCUCCAAAAGCGUAACGGAGGCUUCCAAAGGUGCCCUCGGGCCGAUUGGUAACCGGCCUUACAGAGUGCAAUGGCAUAAGGGCGCUUGACUGGGAGGGAGACAUCCCGAGCAGGCAGGAAACUGGGGCAUAGUGAUCCGGCGGACGUGUAUGGAAACUCCGUCGCUCAAAGGAUAAAAGGUACUCCGGGGAUAACAGGCUGAUCCCCCCCAAGAGCUCAUAUCGACGGGGUGGUUUGGCACCUCGAUGUCGGCUCGUCACAUCCUGGGG